CGUAGGUGGCAAGCGUUGUCCGGAAUUAUUGGGCGUAAAGGGCGCGUAGGCGGUACCUUAAGUCAGAUGUGAAAACCCGAGGCUUAACUUCGGAGGUGCAUUUGAAACGUGGGGAACUAGAGUGCAGGAGAGGUAAGUGGAAUUCCUAGUGUAGCGGUGAAAUGCGUAGAUAUUAGGAGGAACACCAGUGGCGAAGGCGACUUACUGGACUGUAACUGACGCUGAGGCGCGAAAGCGUGGGGAGCAAACAGGAUUAGAUACCCUGGUAGUCCACGCUGUAAACGAUGGAUACUAGGUGUGGGAGGUAUCGACCCCUUCCGUGCCGCAGUAAACGCAAUAAGUAUCCCGCCUGGGGAGUACGGCCGCAAGGUUG
Molecule: ribosomal RNA, 373 nt
Filed under: uncultured organism
Description: bacterial SSU rRNA
Rfam family: Bacterial small subunit ribosomal RNA
Source: RNAcentral